Molecule: transfer RNA, 77 nt
Filed under: Tissierellia bacterium
Lineage: Bacteria; Bacillati; Bacillota; Tissierellia
Description: tRNA-Cys
Rfam family: tRNA
About the family: Transfer RNA (tRNA) molecules are approximately 80 nucleotides in length. Their secondary structure includes four short double-helical elements and three loops (D, anti-codon, and T loops).
Source: RNAcentral
GAGUGAGUAUCCAAGCUGGUAAAGGAGCGGAGCUGCAACCUCCGUAUACAUGAGUUCGAAUCUCAUCUCACUCUCCA